AGUGAACGCUGGCGGUAGGCCUAACACAUGCAAGUCGAACGGCAGCACAGUAAUAGCUUGCUCUUACGGGUGGCGAGUGGCGGACGGGUGAGGAAUACAUCGGAAUCUACUUUUUCGUGGGGGAUAACGUAGGGAAACUUACGCUAAUACCGCAUACGACCUACGGGUGAGAGCAGGGGAUCUUCGGACCUUGCGCGAUUGAAUGAGCCGAUGUCGGAUUAGCUAGUUGGCGGGGUAAAGGCCCACCAAGGCGACGAUCCGUAGCUGGUCUGAGAGGAUGAUCAGCCACACUGGAACUGAGACACGGUCCAGACUCCUACGGGAGGCAGCAGUGGGGAAUAUUGGACAAUGGGCGCAAGCCUGAUCCAGCCAUACCGCGUGGGUGAAGAAGGCCUUCGGGUUGUAAAGCCCUUUUGUUGGGAAAGAAAAGCAGCAGGUUAAUACCACGCUGUUCUGACGGUACCCAAAGAAUAAGCACCGGCUAACUUCGUG
RNAcentral lists this ribosomal RNA (492 nucleotides) under uncultured bacterium. RNAcentral's name for it is "partial 16S ribosomal RNA". It matches the Rfam family "Bacterial small subunit ribosomal RNA", at positions 29 to 507 of the family's 1533-position model. The record is from RNAcentral.